AUAAUAUAAAUCGGCCUAAGAGAGAGAGAGGAUGUUAGGGAAGAUACCAUCCCGAGGACCUCCUGACUCCUGGGAUCAGUCGAGGGGCUGAGCCUCCCUUCCCCCCCGCAUUGGGACGCCUUCAGAACCAAUAACCCAUCUUACACACAAAGAAAGGAAGCACAGAAAAAGUGGUCUGUGUCCCCAGAGGACACACAAGAAGUGGCCCCAAUCCAUACCACCAAAUUGCAGAGGAGCAUCAAGGUGCAUGGAGCCCUCCACCCUACCUAUUUCUGAAGCCCAUUUUGUCCUGGCUCCUCCCUGGCAGUCACUCACUUUUCCAAGAACAGAAGCCAGAAAGCACAGCAGGAGAGGGCAGCAGAGGCUGCUGAAAGCCAUGGCAUUGCCUAGCAAAAGUAAAGCCAAAUAUCACACCUAUUAAGAAACAGCUGCACUUCUCAGCGUAUAGAUGGUGGAAACAGCAUGAAGGGUACGAACAUGGACAGAAGGUACACAGCCUGAUUGCAUAUCAUUUACCUCACAGGUCUUCAGGGAAAAAAUGCCUACACAGAAAGAAACUCAUAAAACACUGUAAAAAUAUACAUUAAAUAAAAACUUAUGCGUCAAUAUAA
Cygnus atratus (black swan) is the source of this 611-nucleotide long non-coding RNA. RefSeq lists it as uncharacterized. NCBI's taxonomy places the organism in Eukaryota, Metazoa, Chordata, Aves, Anseriformes, Anatidae. The record is from RefSeq and is a predicted model, not a curated record. The transcript has 3 exons.